RNAcentral lists this non-coding RNA (44 nucleotides) under Schistosoma mattheei. The record is from RNAcentral. Lineage: Eukaryota; Metazoa; Platyhelminthes; Trematoda; Strigeidida; Schistosomatidae.
AUCCAGAUGACGAGUCCGAAGGGGACGAAACGUGCGUCCUGCAU